UCUGGUGAUGAUGGCAGAGGGGUCACACACGUUCCCAUUCCGAACACGACCGUUAAGCCCUCUAGCGCC
RNAcentral lists this ribosomal RNA (69 nucleotides) under Brevibacillus laterosporus. Lineage: Bacteria; Bacillati; Bacillota; Bacilli; Caryophanales; Paenibacillaceae. The record is from RNAcentral.